CCCUGAGUCACCCCCGGCGCCCCGCGCCCGUCCGGAAGCCCCGGCCCCUCCCUCUGCCUGCCGGACCGGGGAGGGGCCGGGAACUUUCCGGGCCGCCGCCCCGCCCUCCGCGGCUAAGCCGGGCGCGCGGGGCCGGUCGCGCUGUCUCGCGAGCGGCGCGGGGAACGGAGCUGCGGCCGGAGUCCGGCAGAGCGCGAAAAACCCAAAUAUCCUGGGGUAAGAGGCCUGGUGGGCUGUCCAAGGCCACCCUGGCCCAUCUCAGCCAAGCAGUUUCCGUCCUGGAACAUGGGAACUGGAAACAAAGUGAAAUGCUGUUCUCCAGGAGCUUGGGUGGCACUU
RNAcentral lists this long non-coding RNA (339 nucleotides) under Heterocephalus glaber (naked mole-rat). Its description in RNAcentral is "lncRNA (ENSHGLG00000033620.1)". Lineage: Eukaryota; Metazoa; Chordata; Mammalia; Rodentia; Bathyergidae. The record is from RNAcentral.